Camelus ferus (Wild Bactrian camel) is the source of this 73-nucleotide transfer RNA. It matches the Rfam family "tRNA". From Rfam's summary of the family: Transfer RNA (tRNA) molecules are approximately 80 nucleotides in length. Their secondary structure includes four short double-helical elements and three loops (D, anti-codon, and T loops). NCBI's taxonomy places the organism in Eukaryota, Metazoa, Chordata, Mammalia, Artiodactyla, Camelidae. The record is from Rfam.
GAGGGUAUAGCUCAAAUGGUAGCGUAUAUGCCUAGCAUGCAUGAGGUCCUGGGUUCAACCCCCAGUACCUCCA